This 74-nucleotide transfer RNA is filed under the name Bacteroidetes bacterium QS_8_68_28. Its description in RNAcentral is "tRNA-Gln". It matches the Rfam family "tRNA". From Rfam's summary of the family: Transfer RNA (tRNA) molecules are approximately 80 nucleotides in length. Their secondary structure includes four short double-helical elements and three loops (D, anti-codon, and T loops). Further hydrogen bonds mediate the characteristic L-shaped molecular structure. tRNAs have two regions of fundamental functional importance: the anti-codon, which is responsible for specific mRNA codon recognition, and the 3' end, to which the tRNAs corresponding amino acid is attached (by aminoacyl-tRNA synthetases). tRNAs cope with the degeneracy of the genetic code in two manners: having more than one tRNA (with a specific anti-codon) for a particular amino acid; and 'wobble' base-pairing, i.e. permitting non-standard base-pairing at the 3rd anti-codon position. Lineage: Bacteria; Pseudomonadati; Bacteroidota. The record is from RNAcentral.
UGCCCGGUGGUGUAAUGGCAGCACAUCGGCCUUUGGAGCCGCUGGUGAAGGUUCGAAUCCUUCCCGGGCAGCCU